GGUUAAGCGACUAAGCGUACACGGUGGAUGCCCGGCAGUCAGAGGCGAUGAAGGACGUGCUAAUCUGCGAUAAGCGUCGGUGAGGUGAUAUGAACCGUUAUAACCGGCGAUUUCCGAAUGGGGAAACCCAGUGUGAUUCGUCACACUAUCAUUAACUGAAUCCAUAGGUUAAUGAGGCGAACCGGGGAACUGAAACAUCUAAGUACCCCGAGGAAAAGAAAUCAACCGAGAUUCCCCCAGUAGCGGCGAGCGAACGGGGAGGAGCCCAGAGCCUGAAUCAGUGUGUGUGUUAGUGGAAGCGUCUGGAAAGGCGCGCGAUACAGGGUGACAGCCCCGUACACAAAAAUGCACAUGCUGUGAGCUCGAUGAGUAGGGCGGGACACGUGGUAUCCUGUCUGAAUAUGGGGGGACCAUCCUCCAAGGCUAAAUACUCCUGACUGACCGAUAGUGAACCAGUACCGUGAGGGAAAGGCGAAAAGAACCUCGGCGAGGGGAGUGAAAAAGAACCUGAAACCGUGUACGUACAAGCAGUGGGAGCACAGAGCAAUCUGUGUGACUGCGUACCUUUUGUAUAAUGGGUCAGCGACUUAUAUUCUGUAGCAAGGUUAACCGAAUAGGGAGCCGAAGGGAAACCGAGUCUUAACUGGGCGUUAAGUUGCAGGGUAUAGACCCGAAACCCGGUGAUCUAGCCAUGGGCAGGUUGAAGGUUGGGUAACACUAACUGGAGGACCGAACCGACUAAUGUUGAAAAAUUAGCGGAUGACUUGUGGCUGGGGGUGAAAGGCCAAUCAAACCGGGAGAUAGCUGGUUCUCCCCGAAAGCUAUUUAGGUAGCGCCUCGUGAAUUCAUCUCCGGGGUAGAGCACUGUUUCGGCAAGGGGGUCAUCCCGACUUACCAACCCGAUGCAAACUGCGAAUACCGGAGAAUGUUAUCACGGGAGACACACGGCGGGUGCUAACGUCCGUCGUGAAGAGGGAAACAACCCAGACCGCCAGCUAAGGUCCCAAAGUCAUGGUUAAGUGGGAAACGAUGUGGGAAGGCCCAGACAGCCAGGAUGUUGGCUUAGAAGCAGCCAUCAUUUAAAGAAAGCGUAAUAGCUCACUGGUCGAGUCGGCCUGCGCGGAAGAUGUAACGGGGCUAAACCAUGCACCGAAGCUGCGGCAGCGACGCUUAUGCGUUGUUGGGUAGGGGAGCGUUCUGUAAGCCUGUGAAGGUGUGCUGUGAGGCAUGCUGGAGGUAUCAGAAGUGCGAAUGCUGACAUAAGUAACGAUAAAGCGGGUGAAAAGCCCGCUCGCCGGAAGACCAAGGGUUCCUGUCCAACGUUAAUCGGGGCAGGGUGAGUCGACCCCUAAGGCGAGGCCGAAAGGCGUAGUCGAUGGGAAACAGGUUAAUAUUCCUGUACUUGGUGUUACUGCGAAGGGGGACGGAGAAGGCUAUGUUGGCGGGCGACGGUUGUCCCGGUUUAAGCGUGUAGGCUGGUUUUCCGGGCAAAUCCGGAAAAUCAAGGCUGAGGCGUGAUGACGAGGCACUACGGUGCUGAAGCAACAAAUGCCCUGCUUCCAGGAAAAGCCUCUAAGCAUCAGGUAACAUCAAAUCGUACCCCAAACCGACACAGGUGGUCAGGUAGAGAAUACCAAGGCGCUUGAGAGAACUCGGGUGAAGGAACUAGGCAAAAUGGUGCCGUAACUUCGGGAGAAGGCACGCUGAUAUGUAGGUGAGGUCCCUCGCGGAUGGAGCUGAAAUCAGUCGAAGAUACCAGCUGGCUGCAACUGUUUAUUAAAAACACAGCACUGUGCAAACACGAAAGUGGACGUAUACGGUGUGACGCCUGCCCGGUGCCGGAAGGUUAAUUGAUGGGGUCAGCGCAAGCGAAGCUCUUGAUCGAAGCCCCGUAAACGGCGGCCGUAACUAUAACGGUCCUAAGGUAGCGAAAUUCCUUGUCGGGUAAGUUCCGACCUGCACGAAUGGCGUAAUGAUGGCCAGGCUGUCUCCACCCGAGACUCAGUGAAAUUGAACUCGCUGUGAAGAUGCAGUGUACCCGCGGCAAGACGGAAAGACCCCGUGAACCUUUACUAUAGCUUGACACUGAACAUUGAGCCUUGAUGUGUAGGAUAGGUGGGAGGCUUUGAAGUGUGGACGCCAGUCUGCAUGGAGCCGGCCUUGAAAUACCACCCUUUAAUGUUUGAUGUUCUAACGUUGGCCCCUGAUCGGGGUUGCGGACAGUGUCUGGUGGGUAGUUUGACUGGGGCGGUCUCCUCCUAAAGAGUAACGGAGGAGCACGAAGGUUGGCUAAUCCUGGUCGGACAUCAGGAGGUUAGUGCAAUGGCAUAAGCCAGCUUGACUGCGAGCGUGACGGCGCGAGCAGGUGCGAAAGCAGGUCAUAGUGAUCCGGUGGUUCUGAAUGGAAGGGCCAUCGCUCAACGGAUAAAAGGUACUCCGGGGAUAACAGGCUGAUACCGCCCAAGAGUUCAUAUCGACGGCGGUGUUUGGCACCUCGAUGUCGGCUCAUCACAUCCUGGGGCUGAAGUAGGUCCCAAGGGUAUGGCUGUUCGCCAUUUAAAGUGGUACGCGAGCUGGGUUUAGAACGUCGUGAGACAGUUCGGUCCCUAUCUGCCGUGGGCGCUGGAGAACUGAGGGGGGCUGCUCCUAGUACGAGAGGACCGGAGUGGACGCAUCACUGGUGUUCGGGUUGUCAUGCCAAUGGCACUGCCCGGUAGCUAAAUGCGGAAGAGAUAAGUGCUGAAAGCAUCUAAGCACGAAACUUGCCCCGAGAUGAGUUCUCCCUGACUCCUUGAGAGUCCUGAAGGAACGUUGAAGACGACGACGUUGAUAGGCCGGGUGUGUAAGCGCAGCGAUGCGUUGAGCUAACCGGUACUAAUGAACCGUGAGGCUUAACCUU
Molecule: ribosomal RNA, 2899 nt
Filed under: Escherichia coli
Lineage: Bacteria; Pseudomonadati; Pseudomonadota; Gammaproteobacteria; Enterobacterales; Enterobacteriaceae
Description: 23S ribosomal RNA
Rfam family: Bacterial large subunit ribosomal RNA
Source: RNAcentral